Molecule: small nuclear RNA, 110 nt
Filed under: Dasypus novemcinctus (nine-banded armadillo)
Lineage: Eukaryota; Metazoa; Chordata; Mammalia; Cingulata; Dasypodidae
Source: RNAcentral
CUGCUGGAAUUGGCAGCACAUAUACUAAAAUUGGAACGAUACAGAGAAGAUUAGCAUGGCCCCUGCGCAAGGGUGACCAUGAAUUUAAAGUGACGUCAUUCAACAUGCUU